UGGGGCAACCCUAUGUACUACCUGUUGAAUAUAUAGACAGGAAAGAGCCAACCCAGCGAACUGAAACAUCUUAGUAGCUGGAGGAAGAGAAAUCAAACUAGAGAUUCCCUCAGUAGUGGUGAGCGAAAGGGGAAGAGCCUAAACCAAGGGAUUUAUCCUUUGGGGUCGUGGGACAGCGAUAUCGAAUCUAGAGACUAAACGAAACAGCUAAAUACUGUACCAGAGGGGGUGAAAGUCCCGUAGUUGAAAGUCAAAGGAUAGUAGCUGAAUCCCGAGUAGCAUGGAGCACGAGGAAUUCCAUGUGAAUCAGCGAGGACCACCUCGUAAGGCUAAAUACUACUGUGUGACCGAUAGUGAACAAGUACCGCGAGGGAAAGGUGAAAAGAACCCCGGAAGGGGAGUGAAAUAGAACAUGAAACCAUAAGCUUACAAGCAGUGGGAGUCCGAUUUAACGGAUGACCGCGUGCCUGUUGAAGAAUGAGCCGGCGACUUAUAGGCACUGGUAGGUUAAAGCGAGAAUGCUGGAGCCAAAGGGAAACCGAGUCUGAAGA
This 551-nucleotide ribosomal RNA is filed under the name Aphanizomenon flos-aquae MDT14a. Its description in RNAcentral is "bacterial LSU rRNA". It matches the Rfam family "Bacterial large subunit ribosomal RNA", at positions 119 to 689 of the family's 2925-position model. Lineage: Bacteria; Bacillati; Cyanobacteriota; Cyanophyceae; Nostocales; Aphanizomenonaceae. The record is from RNAcentral.